UUGGAGCGUCGUACCCGCGCUUUAAGGGGCAGGCUCUGGGGGCGGGGCCCGGGCCGGCGCGGGAAAACCGCUGAAGCGCGCGAUUCCCGGCCGGGGCGCACCUUGACUUCGGCCUGAUGGUGGUCUCGCUUCGUUUAAUUCAUUAUUUUGCACGUAGCAAGCCUCCAAAGACUGGCAGUAUAAAAAUAUGAGGAUCAUCUCAAUGUGGCGGUGAGAACUCAUGGAUGGGUUAAUGAGCUCUAGCCUUACUCGGUUGCCUCACCUGAGGUGGAAUUUGCAAUCCUCCUGCCUCGGUCUCCUGAGUAACUGGAAUAAUAAGCAUGCACUGCUUUGCCCAGCUCCUCUCUUCCUUGCAGCAAUAGGAUCCUGAUUUUUAUUUCGGACAGUGAUGCCUAGAUAAAAGGAUUCAUUCUCCACCUCUCUCUGCAGUUAAGUAUGAUAAUGUGCUAGCCAUUGCAAGGACUUUUAGGAAGGCUACUAAAGGAAGUUGACUUAGCUUGGCAAUGGGCACUUUUGUUCUUUCCCCUUCUUCCCUCCUAAUCCCUGGAAUUGGGAUGUGAUGAAUGAACUCCGGCAGUCUAUGGGUCCAUGAGCAAAUACUGGCAAAGCAGUUAAGACAGGGAGGCUAGAUGGCUGCAACAUCUUUCCAAACCUAGACUUCCUUCCCUUGGAUAUGUUUUACAUGAAUAAAUAAAUAAACUUCUACUUUGGUUUUAAGUAUGUUAUUUCUUUUAGAUGCAGCCAAAUCCAAUUCUAAUGAUACAUUUCAAGUUUGCUCUAUAAAGAUGUAGAAGAGGAGAGUUAUACUGACAGAUGUGUUUGAUGAAAACUCAAUGUUAACUCGUAUUCACCAAUACAAUUGCCCUUUCCUUUAAACAGGUUCAAAAUUCUAGUUUCUAAGAUGGCUCUAAAAGGUAGACUAUUUUUCAAAGCAAAAUAAACCAAAUCCUUUACACAUCCUAUAGAAACCAUCUUGACAUUAAUUUCUUUCGAAAGUAUAAGCAAUUUGAUUUGAAUUAAUGUCAGGAGGAUACAUCUCUAGUAGGGAAAAUUUAGCUAAAUAAGAACCCCAGAUGUGUGGGCAAGGGACAGCAAGGAAAUAUUAAUGUUACCCUGUAAUGGUUAAUUUGAAAUGUCAACUUGAUUGGAUUAAGAGACACCAAUGAUUAAUAGGCUUCUGGGUGUGUCAAUGAGGGUGUGUCUGGGAAUGAUUGGCAUGUGGGAUAGCAAACUGAAGUGGAGACCCUCCCUAAGCUUGGACAGCACCAUCUAUCAGGAUGGUGGCUUGGAUGGAAUAAAAGUUGGAAGAACAAGGAAGCAAGAGCAGAUGCAAGCUUGAUUCUUCUUGGAAGGGUUCUUUUCUUAAUUGCUACUGUGACCUCCUGAGGAUAUCAGACUCUUGCUUUUUGACUUUUUCAAAGCAGACUCUGCCAGUGAUUCUCCAGGGAGUUUCCAGAAGCCUUUGGUCUAUGACUAGGGUAGCACUGUUGAUCCCUCUUGUUCUGGGACCUCAGCCUCUUGGACUGCAGGGCUACUGGUUCCUCCAGUUCUCCAGCCUACAGACAGCCACUAUGGACCAUCCAGCUUCUGACUGUCUGAACAAAUUGCUUAGCUCCUCCAAGUAUAACCUCCCACAGUCUCAUUCCACAUGUGGACACAAAAGGAGGCACAGGACCCAAACUGAUCUCAGAGUAAAGAUGAAGAUUUUUCUAUGAUUGGGGGAGAGUUUUUGUCUCAAUAAACAAACAAAAAAUG
Long non-coding RNA from Marmota monax (woodchuck), 1755 nucleotides. RefSeq lists it as uncharacterized. Lineage: Eukaryota; Metazoa; Chordata; Mammalia; Rodentia; Sciuridae. The record is from RefSeq and is a predicted model, not a curated record. The transcript has 4 exons.